ACGCACGCUGGCGGCGUGCCUCAUCCAUGCAAGUUGAGCGAUGAAGAUUGGUGCUUGCACCAAUUUGAAGAGCUGCGAACGGGUGAGUAACGCGUGGGGAAUCUGCCUUUGAGCGGGGGACAACAUUUGGAAACGAAUGCUAAUACCGCAUAACAACUUUAAACAUAAGUUUUAAGUUUGAAAGAUGCAAUUGCAUCACUCAAAGAUGAUCCCGCGUUGUAUUAGCUAGUUGGUGAGGUAAAGGCUCACCAAGGCCAUGAUACAUAGCCGACCUGAGAGGGUGAUCGGCCACAUUGGGACUGAGACACGGCCCAAACUCCUACGGGAGGCAGCAGUAGGGAAUCUUCGGCAAUGGACGAAAGUCUGACCGAGCAACGCCGCGUGAGUGAAGAAGGGUGUCGGAUCGUAAAACUCUGUUGGUAGAGAAGAACGUUGGUGAGAGUGGAAAGCUCAUCAAGUGACGGUAACUACCCAGAAAGGGACGGCUAACUACGUG
This 496-nucleotide ribosomal RNA is filed under the name uncultured bacterium. Its description in RNAcentral is "partial 16S ribosomal RNA". It matches the Rfam family "Bacterial small subunit ribosomal RNA", at positions 29 to 507 of the family's 1533-position model. The record is from RNAcentral.